CAGUAGCCGCGGUAAUACGGAGGGGGCUAGCGUUGUUCGGAAUUACUGGGCGUAAAGCGCACGUAGGCGGCUUGGUAAGUUAGAGGUGAAAGCCCAGGGCUCAACCCUGGAAUUGCCUUUAAGACUGCCGAGCUAGUAGGUGAGAGAGGUAAGUGGAAUUCCGAGUGUAGCGGUGAAAUUCGUAGAUAUUCGGAAGAACACCAGUGGCGAAGGCGGCUUACUGGCUCAUACUGGACGCUGAGGUGCGAAAGCGUGGGGAGCAAACAGGAUUAGAUACCCCAGUAGUCCCUGUCUCUUAUAC
RNAcentral lists this ribosomal RNA (301 nucleotides) under uncultured bacterium. Its description in RNAcentral is "partial 16S ribosomal RNA". It matches the Rfam family "Bacterial small subunit ribosomal RNA", at positions 509 to 807 of the family's 1533-position model. The record is from RNAcentral.